UGUCGCUUAGGGAUGAGCCCAUUUCCUAUCAGCUAGUUGGUGAGGUAACGGCUCACCAAGGCUUACGGGUAGUUGGUCUGAGAGGAUGAUCAGCAACACUGGGACUGAGACACUGCCCAGUCCUACGGGAGGCUGCAGUCGAGAAUCAUUGUCAAUGCACGAAAGUGUGAACAUGCGACGCCGCGUGGAGGAAGACGGCCUUUGGGUUGUAAACUCCUGUCAGCAGGGAGUAAGGGUGGUACACUUAACACGUGAGCCAUUUGAUAGUACCUGCAGAGGAAGUCACGGCUAACUCUGUGCCAGCAGCCGCGGUAAUACAGAGGUGGCGAACGUUGUUCGGAUUUACUGGGCGUAAAGGGUCCGCAGGCGGUUCGGUAUGUCAGAUGUGAAAGCCCACAGCUUAACUGUGGAAUUGCAUUUGAAACUGCCGAACUAGAGUACUGGAGGGGAGAAGGGAACACUUGGUGUAGCGGUGAAAUGCGUAGAUAUCAAGUGGAACACCGGUGGCGAAGGCGCUUCUCUGGACAGAUACUGACGCUCAUGGACGAAAGUUAGGGUAGCGAAAGGGAUUAGAUACCCCUGUAGUCCUAACCGUAAACGGUGUGCGCUAGGCGUGGGUGGCUUUACCCCCAUCCGUGCCUGAGCUAACGCAUUAAGCGCACCGCCUGGGGAGUACGGUCGCAAGAUUAAAACUCAAAGGAAUUGACGGGGACCCGCACAAGCGGUGGAGCAUGUGGCUUAAUUCGAUGCAACGCGAAGAACCUUACCUGGGCUUGACAUAUAGCUGCAUCCGACCCGAAAGGGACGGAGCCUUCGAGGGUGCUAUACAGGUGCUGCAUGGCUGUCGUCAGCUCGUGCCGUGAGGUGUUGGGUUAAGUCCCGCAACGAGCGCAACCCCUGUGUUUAGUUGCCAGCACGUAAUGGUGGGAACUCUAAACAGACUGCCUGUGAAAACAGGAGGAAGGUGGGGAUGACGUCAAGUCAGUAUGGUCCUUAUGUCCAGGGCUGCACACGUGCUACAAUGGGAUGUACAAUGGGAAGCUAAGCCGCGAGGUGGAGCAAAUCCUCAAAACAUCCCCCAGUUCGGAUUGUAGUCUGAAACUCGACUACAUGAAGUUGGAAUCGCUAGUAAAGGUAUAUCAGCUACGAUACCUUGAAUACGUUCCCGGGUCUUGUACACACCGCCCGUCACAUCAUGGAAGUGAGUUGCACCCGAAGUUGUUGAUCCAACCCGUCAAGGGAGGAAGGCACCUAAGGUGUGAUUCAUAACUG
Molecule: ribosomal RNA, 1272 nt
Filed under: metagenome
Description: bacterial SSU rRNA
Rfam family: Bacterial small subunit ribosomal RNA
Source: RNAcentral